CUGUCAUGUUGAAUUGAGGAUUCUUGAACCACUAGAAAUAGGAUUGUACUUCCUGAAUGUUGGGUACCAAUCACAAGUGUAGGUAUAAGCAAAGUAUCUAGAUUAUAGGCUUUAUAGGGUUGCACUGGAUCUCAUUAUACAGGCCAGAACUGAGAAAGUCACACAUGCUGGUCAGACAUCAAGUCAGAAACAAUUUAAUUGGUAGAUAAUGUCACUUCCAGUCCAUGCAGGUGGAUUUAUUUGGGGUUUUGUUCAUUUCAGUCCUCUCUCUGUGCACCCCUGUAUGAUGCAACUACCUGAAACUAACUAAAUCAAUGAACUUCAACAUUUCAGGUGAAAGACCUAUAGUAUUAUUUUUCAGGUAGUUGCAUGCAUGAUACAUUUAAGCCUUUAAAUAGUGUGGUGGCUUAAGCUGUUUUCUCAUCACUUCUUUUGUCUGUAGUGAAAACUUUAAUUUACAACAUUUUAAUUAUAUAAUCUCUUUUUGGUCUAAUUGCAGAAUUAUUUGAUGGUGAUACAGUUCAUAGUUCAACCUCUUUAUUAAAGAAUUAUCAAUUAUUAGAAAGAAUUAAUUUUGUUAGCAGUGAUAAAACUAUCCAGACAAGUUAUUAUUAUGACUUUGUAGCCAGAUGGGUAUGAUUUUGCUUUGGCUGUUCAGCAUUUUGAUCCAUUGUGAUAUGUCUUGUGGUACCUGUGAAUGAUUUUACCUGCAAAAUGAAUGACAGAAUAUCAGAAUGUAACAUUACAUUAAGAUACAUCCUUACACUGCAAUAUAAUUAUGUAAAUAUAGGUGUUCAGUGUGAAGAAUAU
Non-coding RNA from Paramuricea clavata, 810 nucleotides. The record is from the annotation of a GenBank genome assembly. NCBI's taxonomy places the organism in Eukaryota, Metazoa, Cnidaria, Anthozoa, Malacalcyonacea, Plexauridae.